Molecule: long non-coding RNA, 1264 nt
Filed under: Drosophila guanche
Lineage: Eukaryota; Metazoa; Arthropoda; Insecta; Diptera; Drosophilidae
Source: RNAcentral
AACAUUUAUUUUGUCAUUACAAUUAUUUACUUUAAUUUAUAUAAGACUUUAAAUUUGAUGAAUAACUAAACUCUAUCGAAAGUAUUCCUAUUUUCGGUUGCUUUUAGUCGAUGAAAGUGAAUAACAAUUUUAACAAGUACAUGGAACGUACAUACAUACAAAUGUAAAUGUGGGACAUCUAUCAACAAUAAAAAUGUCGAUACAUACAUACUAGUUUCGCAUAAACAAAGUAAUUUUCGUUACAAAUUUGAUCUUUUUAUAGGUAUUCAUUGUAAUAAAUUGAUUAAUACACCGAUAGUCAAAAUUCAGAACCCCAAAUAUAAUAAAUGUAUAAUAUUAAUUUGUUGUAUUUAAUAAGUUUUGACAAAAAGCAAAUUUCUUCCACAUUUAAAUUAUAUCCGCAUUUAAACUAUUUUUUUCGACUAAACCAAAAUAAUUAGAGUAUUAAAAAAUACCAUACAAUACUAAGAUGUUGCAUGGUCCAGGCAGAGACGAAAAAAUAUAAAUUGAAUAAGAGUAGACAAGGCUUCGAACGAAAAACUAAGUGCAAUGGGUUCCUUAUGAAACAUCUUGGUAAUUUUAUAACAACUCGUUAAAAUUACCAAUUACCAAAGGAGUUAAUUUAGAUGUGAUGAAAUUUUAGUUAUGAAAACGUACAUUUAUGUACGAAAAUAGUUAAUGGCAUCUGUAGAGACAAACAAGAUUAAUUUGUGUAUAUACUUUUCAAUCCAAGUUAAUUAUAUAUAAUAACAUGUGCCUAAUUCAUCUCAAUUUUUAUAAAUGUUCGCUAAAACAUUUUUCUUAUAUAUCAUAUAUCUUUCAAUAACUUAAAACCUUUUCUGGUCUCUUUGAAACCAGUCACACAUUAAUUAUUUAAAACAAAUUGAAUAGAAUGACAUUUGAUACCCUAUUUUAAAACUUUUCUUUUUUUGAAAUUAAAAAUGGAAUAAGUAUUUAAUAUUAUCUUUAGGUCUAUUUUCUUACAUAGUGUUAUUACUUAGUUAACCCACAUAAUUUGACCUACUCAACUUUAAUAUCCAAAAAGCUGUAAGUCACGAUUCAAGUUUUUGAAAUACUUCCAUCUAAGCUGGGAAUAUAAUGAAGUACAUACAUAAUAUAUCUUAGAAAAGACAUUUUAGAAACAUUCAUAUGUUUUUAUCAUCUUAUGUUACUUUUAACGCAUUAACUCACAAUAAUUGGCGCAUAAUGAUAAUUCUUUGAUAAAUGUAAUAAAUGAAAAUAUAAAUAUCUAAAUAAACUUUUU